RNAcentral lists this long non-coding RNA (974 nucleotides) under Cercocebus atys (sooty mangabey). RNAcentral describes it as "lncRNA (ENSCATG00000045675.1)". The record is from RNAcentral. Lineage: Eukaryota; Metazoa; Chordata; Mammalia; Primates; Cercopithecidae.
GUCUUAUUGUUACCGGCUGGCCAAGCUCUACCAUCCCUUACCUUCCUCAGGGCUGAUCUCUCAGAAGAAUGUGGGAGCCUGGGAGGAGAGUGUUGUAGACUUUGGCAAGUUAAGAAGAAGCAGAGUGGCUUUGUUUGUGUCACUCAAAGACUUGGUGAAAGCAGGAGGAGGAGAAACUACUCAGAAGGUGUUAGAAGUGGAACUGAGAGAUACCUAGAGAGCAAGGGAUGUGUUCAGAAGAUAUGUUUGGGCAUUUUGAGUUAAAAAUUUGCAAUAGUAAAAGCAGGUGAUUUUGAUUUGCAAGUGGCUGUGCUUCUCCUUCCAUCAUGUGGCUCUGCAUCUUCAACACAUGGUUACCAAGGUCACCAGAGAAGGUCAAAGAAGUGGGGAUCACAUUCAGGAGGUUACUAUAGCCCAUUCUUGAAAGUGGUUUAUUUUAAUUCUUAUGCUUCAUAAGCCAGAUGGGAAUUAUUUGGGCUCUGAAUAUGAUACCUGAAAGCAUGACACUUUGACAUGCUGAUGAUUUUGAGCUGAAUAAGAUUGGGAAGGCCUCAGAAACAAGACAGUUUCAUCGACCUACUCUGGCCUUCCCUCCUCCAGUCCCAUUUUCUACCCCCAAGUGGGUCAUAGAAACUAGAAAUCCUCUCCACUGAAGCAAGCCAUAAAAGCUGGGAAGGUCAGGCUCUGAUCUUUUCCCUUCUCCCAUGAAGAUCCUCAUGUGACAAGUGUCUUGCCCCAUACCUGGGGAGGAUAUCAGCCUGAGACACAGAGAAGACGAAGCAAACAGGCCUUCCUAUGUUUCCCCCAGUUUAUUACCAUUAGGUCAUAUUCCUUUUUGUCAAGACAUGUUUCUUCACAACUAUCCUUUUAUUUCAUCAGACUUAACAUAAAGAUAGUUUUCCCUGUGUCUUUGGGCCUUCAUUUAUGAGUGCUCCCACUCCAUGUAAAACUUUGAUUAAAUAAAAUUGUUAUGC